CGCCGGCGGCUGUAGAUCCGAUCGGAGGAAGGACGAAGGUGCCGACGGCGGCUGAAGCAGCAGGCUGGGAAGAGAACAUGACUCCAGCUUGAAGAGUCCCCAUGGUGUGGGGAGCGAUGGCAGCGGUGGUGCUGAAGAGGCCGAGGCCGGCGGUGUCGAAGAGGCCGAGGCCGGCGCCUGAGUUGUUGGCGGCGGAAGACAUGGAGAUGAAUCGUGAUUAGGCUGAUACCAUAUAAGACGUACGGUAAUUGGAGUAAUUGGAGAUUGAUUGAGGGAAACUGCACACCGUCUCCGUGGACGUGGCUCUCAUAUUAUGAAGGAGAUCGUACAAAUACAAGGUGCAUGCAUAUACGUAC
Molecule: long non-coding RNA, 356 nt
Filed under: Brachypodium distachyon (stiff brome)
Lineage: Eukaryota; Viridiplantae; Streptophyta; Magnoliopsida; Poales; Poaceae
Description: long non-coding RNA (BDIS_LNC000738)
Source: RNAcentral